CGCAAUCUAAAUCAUUUUAAUAUCGCUUUAUUGGCAAAACAGGGUUGGCGUUUGUUACGUAAUCUUAAUUCGUUACUAGUGCGUACUUUUAAAGCUAAAUAUUAUAAUGAGUCGAACUUUUUUAACUCCAGUUAGGGAAAUCUACCUUCCUUUACCUAGCGAAGUAUCUGGGCUACUAAUGGGCUUUUGUUGAAAGGACUGGGUUGGAGGAUUAGAAAUGGAAACAAGUCUCUAUUUGGGAAGAUGCAUGGAUUCCUGGCAAUGAUGAUUUUAAAGUACAAAACACAGAGGUUAAUUUAAGCGUUCAACAAGUUGUUGAUCUGAUUGAUGCUAAUGCUAGAAAAUAGAACUCAGAGUUGAUUUUUAAUACAUUUUCGGAGCAGGACGCAGAAAGGAUUCUUUGUAUUCCCUUGUCUUUGCAGGAGCUCGAUGAUGUUGUCAUUUGGCGUGGAGAGCAGACUGGUGAAUAUUCGUUACGAAGUGGGCAUAAACUCCUUUUACAUGAUAAUCUUAAUAAUUUACAGGCUAGUUACAAACAAUUUUACAAAAAAUUGUGGACUCUUGACCUACCCUUUAAAAUAAAGAUUACAGUUUGGCGAAUUUCUCGUAACUAUCUACCUACUUUUAGUAAUCUUCAAUAUCAACGAAUGAGGGGCUCCGCGACUUGCAGUCGGUGCCAGGAUGGAGUGGAAAUAAGGGAACAUGUGUUCCACAAGUGCUCUGUUGCAAAGGAAACAUGGGAAUACUUGAAUAUAAAGUGGAUCCUUUCUGAAGAAAGCACUGAUUUCAGAGAAUGGUUUAAAUGUAUUUUUGAGUCUAGAUCUAAAGCUAUUUGCAGAAUAUUUGCAUGCACUUUAUGGGCACUUUGGACUUCCAGAAACAGAUUUAUCCAUGAUGGUGAGAUUAAGACGGGUGCUCAAAUUGCAAUUUUUGUUGAAAAUCAUAUUAAGGAACUUGAUGGGUUGAAACAGAAUGUACCUGUUGAACGUUUCUAUGUGGCUAGUUGGGUUGCUUCGGAAGGAACAGGGAUCAAGAUUAACUUCAAUGCUGCUUUUAACAAUCGCAGGAAGGAAUCGUGUUCAGGGUUAGUUAUCCGUAAUGCUAAAAUAGAGGUUAUUUGCUAAAAAAUAGUUAUGAACUCAAACAUACCGUCUGUCUUCGCUGCUGAAGUGGUGGCGUGCUUUCAAGCGCUACAACUGGGUUUACAACCGGAUAUGAGGGAGGUGGAGAUCGAGGGUGAUUCUUGAACGGUGAUUCGAAAGCUUCAAGAAGAAAAUGAGGAUAGAUCUGAGAUUGCUGCACUCAUAAACGGUUCUAAAAGUAUUAGCUUAGGAUUUCAGACCUGCGUCUUCCUCUUUACAAACAGAGAAGCAAAUACGGUUGCUCAUAUCACUUUAACUGAAGGAUUGGUAAGAAGAGAGUCAACUUAUCUAGAGAACAUGGUUGCUUUUGGAGCGGUGGGAGUGGUGGCUGAAGAUCGACAGAGGACUGAGAGUAUGAGAGAGCUGAGGGGACGGAGAGUAGGGGAAGAGGAAAACAUUUUUUGAAUCUGUUGUGUGGAAGAGUUUUCAAGAAUGUGGAGUUUCAAGAAGCCUUUGAGGGUUGAAAUGGUCAGAUAUUAAUUUGAUUGCUGAUAAUUAUUGUUUUGACGAUUGUUGUUUUCAAGGGGGUUUAUGGGGUGGUUUCUAGCUGGAGCAAGAAUGCUCUAGAGUAUCCCUCUUUGUCGUUUUGCUGGUUUGUGGAAUUGGGCUACUUUUGUUUUUCUUUGUGUUUGGGCUUGUCUUUGGGUUAUUUUGUUUUAUUAAUUUUUGUUAUUUUGACUUUGGGGGUAUUUUGUUUUGUUCUGUGUUGGGUUGUUUUUGGUUUUUUGUUUUUCCGUUUCUUGUGUUGGACUUUGUCUAUUGUUGGCUUGAAUUUGUUUUGGCCCUGUUUCAAUAUAAUCAGUGAAUUAAUUCAAAAAAAAAAGUCUGUGAUAAAUGGAUGACAUGGCUGUUCUAAAAUUGUUAUAAUAAUAUAUUUAACCUUCAACAAUUAUGUAACACCCCUGUCCCGUAUCCGUCGCCAGAAUAGGUGAAGGGGUAUUACCAGACUUGAAACUCA
Molecule: long non-coding RNA, 2100 nt
Filed under: Gossypium barbadense (sea-island cotton)
Lineage: Eukaryota; Viridiplantae; Streptophyta; Magnoliopsida; Malvales; Malvaceae
Description: long non-coding RNA (GBAR_LNC011257)
Source: RNAcentral